GUGCUUGCUUCGGCAGCACAUAUGCUAAAAUUGGAUCAAUGCAGAGAGGAUUUAGCAAGGCCCCUGCACAAAGGAUGGUGACAGUUUUGUGAAGCUUUAUUACCAUAUCUUU
Molecule: small nuclear RNA, 112 nt
Organism: Ochotona curzoniae (black-lipped pika)
Lineage: Eukaryota; Metazoa; Chordata; Mammalia; Lagomorpha; Ochotonidae
Source: RefSeq, a predicted model, not a curated record